UGCAAGUCGAACGCUUCUUUCCUCCCGAGUGCUUGCACUCAAUUGGAAAAGGAGUGGCGGACGGGUGAGUAACACGUGGGUAACCUACCCAUCAGAGGGGGAUAACACUUGGAAACAGGUGCUAAUACCGCAUAACAGUUUAUGCCGCAUGGCAUAAGAGUGAAAGGCGCUUUCGGGUGUCGCUGAUGGAUGGACCCGCGGUGCAUUAGCUAGUUGGUGAGGUAACGGCUCACCAAGGCCACGAUGCAUAGCCGACCUGAGAGGGUGAUCGGCCACACUGGGACUGAGACACGGCCCAGACUCCUACGGGAGGCAGCAGUAGGGAAUCUUCGGCAAUGGACGAAAGUCUGACCGAGCAACGCCGCGUGAGUGAAGAAGGUUUUCGGAUCGUAAAACUCUGUUGUUAGAGAAGAACAAGGACGUUAGUAACUGAACGUCCCCUGACGGUAUCUAACCAGAAAGCCACGGCUAACUACGUGCCAGCAGCCGCGGUAAUACGUAGGUGGCAAGCGUUGUCCGGAUUUAUUGGGCGUAAAGCGAGCGCAGGCGGUUUCUUAAGUCUGAUGUGAAAGCCCCCGGCUCACCGGGGAGGGUCAUUGGAAACUGGGAGACUUGAGUGCAGAAGAGGAGAGUGGAAUUCCAUGUGUAGCGGUGAAAUGCGUAGAUAUAUGGAGGAACACCAGUGGCGAAGGCGGCU
RNAcentral lists this ribosomal RNA (697 nucleotides) under Enterococcus faecalis. RNAcentral describes it as "bacterial SSU rRNA". It matches the Rfam family "Bacterial small subunit ribosomal RNA", at positions 56 to 726 of the family's 1533-position model. The record is from RNAcentral. Lineage: Bacteria; Bacillati; Bacillota; Bacilli; Lactobacillales; Enterococcaceae.